UUGGGCACCCUUGAAGUGUGAGUCCUCCAUCUUCAGUUUGGUUAGGCCACAGGUAGCAGCUGUGCAAGCUUCCCUUAAACUGCCCUAUCAAUGGGUUUCAAACCUGGUUGGAAGGGACCAGUCAUAGGAGUGAGACAGAAGUUUAAACUCUAUGGCCUAUUCAGUCCUUGGUCUCU
Molecule: unclassified non-coding RNA, 176 nt
Organism: Gopherus agassizii (Agassiz's desert tortoise)
Lineage: Eukaryota; Metazoa; Chordata; Testudines; Testudinidae
Source: Ensembl